GGGGAUGAUCCGGUUUCGACGGGGAUCACGAAGGCAGAAUAAGCGAGCCGCGGCCCCUGUACCGCGCAACAACGGGGAAAAACAAUAACUGACAACAGCAAUUUUGCUUUCGCGGCGUAAUGCCGCGCGUCGGCCCUGAGCGCCUGCGGCUCAGUCAGCCGGCGUCAUUGACGCAGGGAACGAGCUUCGCUUAAGCUUUGCGGCGAAGUCCGUAAUCAUGAAGCUACCUGCCCCGCAGCCUUUCCGCGGGCGGCGGAUGCAGGGAAACCAAAUCACGGAAUGCGCUCGGAGAAAGUUCUGCUGACGGUUCUUCGGACAGGGGUUCGACUCCCCUCAUCUCCACCA
This 345-nucleotide transfer-messenger RNA is filed under the name Christensenellales. RNAcentral's name for it is "RUG740 sp900316415 Standard tmRNA". It matches the Rfam family "transfer-messenger RNA". From Rfam's summary of the family: Bacterial tmRNA, also known as 10Sa RNA or SsrA, is named for its dual tRNA and mRNA-like properties. RNAcentral also lists the same sequence under 1 other name. Lineage: Bacteria; Bacillati; Bacillota; Clostridia. The record is from RNAcentral.